RNAcentral lists this unclassified non-coding RNA (769 nucleotides) under Hevea brasiliensis (rubber tree). Lineage: Eukaryota; Viridiplantae; Streptophyta; Magnoliopsida; Malpighiales; Euphorbiaceae. The record is from RNAcentral.
AUCUUGGUGCAAAGGGAAUAUGGGCUGGAAUGAUAGGAGGAACUAUGAUGCAAACCUUCAUUUUAUCAUGGGUAACCUUUCGCACUGAUUGGAAUAAAGAGGUAAAUAUCAAAAUUACAAUGAGUUGUGAUUUAAAAAUAUUGUAUUUAAUUUUUUUAGUAAAUUGUUUUUAUUUAUUUAAUUAAAAUUGCAUGAAAUUCAAAUACUCCAAAUUUUACAGUUCUGAAAAUCAUUUAAUAUUAUUGACUUAAAGGUUAUUAUUGAUAGAAUAUAAAUGAUAGGCUUCCAUCAUGCAUGCAUUUAUGAUUUAUAGCAAGCAAAAGUGAAGCAUUAAUUUAUGGAGAAAGCUAUAAUGCAUUAUACCAUUUCUUUUGAAAUGACCAUACAAUACAUGACAUCCAACAGAUUUUCUUUAGUUGGCUAGCUGAUAUGCAUUGAAAAUUAUUAGUUAAACAAUACCUUCCUAUAUAUAAUUAAGUCUUCCUCUUGAUCGAAAGUUUAUACAGUGGAAUUAAUCCAUGAAAAAUGUCUCUCUGUUUCAGGUAGAGAAGGCUAGAAUGCGUUUGGAUAAAUGGGAAGACAAGAAGGAACCACUCCUUAAGAACUGAAAAUAAUGCUCAAGUGUAUUUAUCACAUAUGCAUGCAAUGGAAACGGAGCAAAUAAAUCUGCUGAAGAAAAAUUAACCACUUGAGCAUGGGGUCAGGAAAUUAAGCCAUGAAACCAAUUGGUGUUGCACUCAAAAUUAAAUAUAUAAUACUAUUUUUUUUU